RNAcentral lists this long non-coding RNA (219 nucleotides) under Elaeis guineensis (African oil palm). RNAcentral describes it as "long non-coding RNA (EGUI_LNC055791)". The record is from RNAcentral. Lineage: Eukaryota; Viridiplantae; Streptophyta; Magnoliopsida; Arecales; Arecaceae.
ACGAAGUCUGAAAGAAGUUUGGAGUAGAGUCGUCCAUGGCCGGAAGAAGUUUGGAAGGGAUUCAUAGAAUAGUCGAUCACUAUAGAAAAUUGGCUUACAGUGAAGCCCAGAGAGCAUUUGGAGCAGUCCGAUAGAUGAAUGGAGAAGCUCAUUAUCGGAGAAGUCCGGACGGUAUUAUGGAAGUUCGUACACCGAGGAAGUUCAGAAAGAUGCCACACA